UGGAGGGCGCUACAGUCGACAACGUGGUGUCUCAGUAUGUGUGCACACUGUUAUACCCACUUGACUCCACUAGUGGUGAGUGCCGUAGUUUGUGGCGUCGGUCGUGCGGUUUACGGUGGUGAAGUGGUUGACUGUAUUACGCGAGCAGUGUGCGAUGGGGUUCCAUUGCAGUUUGCUGUUCAUCGUUGCAGUUCUUGAUUACCGGCGGCAAACGAGCAACGAGCACGGACGCCUGCUGAGCUGCCUCCAAAGUUCUGCGAACGUCAGCUGGGGCCGCCGCCAGCUCACUUCGAUGGCCGCCGGCUGCUGGGAGAUAAUGUAUAGGAGGGGAAAGUUUUAAGUGAGCCCGCAGUGCCUCCACUUCUUAUGGAGGAACACGCCGAGUACCAAGUAACUGGAAUCUGCCAGAACACAAGCAAAUUACAACAUACGCAUGCUCAAGGAUG
This is a long non-coding RNA of Schistocerca gregaria, 446 nucleotides long. RefSeq lists it as uncharacterized. The transcript has 3 exons. The record is from RefSeq and is a predicted model, not a curated record. Lineage: Eukaryota; Metazoa; Arthropoda; Insecta; Orthoptera; Acrididae.